UUUCAAUCACCAAGAACUGAUCUAGAUUUGAUUUAAUUCAACCCUAACACAUUUCUAAAGAAGGUAGAAAUACUAACCUUGAUCCAUGCUUGGAUGCAAUCCCACCAAUUGAUCUUCUCCUCUUUAACCUUCUCUUUGAUGAUUUCCUUGAUGGACAGGAAAUCCCAAACCUUCCUUAAUCUCCUCUUUUAGAUAUUAGUGUAGUGUUGUAAAGAGACUUCACGUCAUAUUGAUAAAAGGAGUACGAGUCCUUUUAUAAUAAUCUAAGAGACGUGUUGGUUUAUAUCCAUCAAACGGAUGUUUGUAACACAACUCUUCUUUAUAACCGAACUACAACAUAUACUCACAUAUAUAUUACAUUAUGGUAAUAUAUUCUAUUAUUACUACCUUGUAUAUAUAUGUGUAUAAUCAUGGAUUAAGGAUAUUUAUAAGCCAAGGUAAAGUAGGAGGGUUAACAAUACACCCAUAUUCUAACUCAUUACUCGAAACCGAUCCAUCACGAUAUCAACUCUUAUAUUAGAAUAUAAAACAUUAAUAUGAACUUGAACUUUAUAUUAAACCAAUAGAUACAUAGGUCACACAGAAUAUAAAAUAUUCUUACAUUCUCCCACUUGACCUUUGUAUCGACUUAAGGGUUCAAUAACUUUAAUGUGCACUUUUCUAUCGAGUUCACUUGAUCUUUAUUAAAAUUUGGAUUGAUCGAAUCAUGGCGGUUGUAUGCCAUUAAACGACAUAGUCCCUUCCAUGUAUCACAAAUCAAUUCUAAUUUUAUAUCAAACCUUACAUGAGAAAAACUUUUAUUUCUCAAACCAACCAUAUGUUAUCUACAAACCAUAAGUGUAUACACAUACUUUAAUGAUAACAUAAUAAAUAAAUUAGAAACAUAACUUUAUGUGAAUUCUCAGUGUCAAAUACAUAAUGAGCAUCCCAUAACUAAAAUAGCAAAGCCUUAUCUAUAAUACCCAUACGUUCUACAUGGCCAUUGAACGCCUUGGGUGGUAAACCUUUAGUUAGCGGAUCCGCUACCAUCAUGUCCGUCCUUAUGUGCUCGAAUGACACUCUCUGUUUCUGAACUUCUUCUUUAACAGACAGGUACUUUAACUCCAUGUGCUUAGCACCCUUCGAGUACUUGUCGUUCUUCGAAAAGAAGACAACUGCAGAAUUAUCGCAGUAAAUUCUCAGCGGCUUGGCUAUAGUGUCGACAAUCCGAAGCCCUGAGAUAAAGUUCCGCAGCCAUAGUGCAUGAAUUGUGGCCUCAAAGCAUGCCACAAAUUCAGCCUCCAUAGUGGAAGUAGCAAUGACAGACUGCUUUCCACUCUUCCAUGAUAUUGCUCCCCCAGCUAAUAGGAACAAGUAGCCAAACGUCGAUUUUCUGCUAUCAACGCAUCCGGCAUAGUCUGAAUCUGAAUAUCCAAUGACUUCCAGCUGAUCAGAUCUCCUAUAUGUAAGCAUGUUCUCUUUGGUGCCUUGCAAGUACCUGAGAACCUUCUUUGCAGCUUUCCAAUGGUCCAUUCCGGGAUUACUUUGAUAUCGACCCAACAUUCCAACAGCAAAGUUGAUAUCAGGUCGAGUACAUGUUUGAACAUAGUUCAAACUCCCAACCACCGAUGCAUAGGGAAUUCUUUCCAUUUCUUUACGCUCUAAUUCAUUUUUAGGACAUUGCAUUUUACUGAACUUGUCCCCCUUCUGAAUUGGAGUUAUUCCUGCAGAGCAUUUCUCCAUUUUAUAUCUCUUUAAGAUCUUAUUAAUAUAUCCUUCCUGAGACAAACUUAGCAGUCCUUGUGAUCUAUCUCGAAAUAUUUCUAUCCCGAUCACAUAAGAUGCCUCACCCAUAUCUUUCAUUUCAAAGUUCUUAGAGAGAUACUUCUUCACAUCAUGUAACAUACCCAUGUCAUUUGCAGCAAGCAAAAUAUCAUCAACAUAUAGGACUAAAAUCACAAACUUACUCCCACUGAUCUUAAUGUAGAUACAUCGAUCAACAAUGAUCUCUACAAAACCAUAUGAUGUGAUGGUAUCAUUAAACUUUAUAUACCAUUGUCGAGAAGCUUGUUUUAGUCCAUAUAUUGACUUUCUCAGCUUACACACCAAAUUUUCUUUUCCUGUGACCACGAAUCCUUCUGGUUGGUCCAUAUAUACUUCCUCCUCAAGAUCUCCAUUCAGAAAGGCGGUUUUCACAUCCAUCUGGUGAAGCUCAAGAUCAUAAUGAGCCACCAAAGCCAAAACAAUUCUAAGAGAAUCCUUCUUUGAAACCGGAGAGAAGGUCUCUUUAUAGUCAAUGCCAUCUUUCUGGGUGAAACCUUUAGCAACAAGGCGAGACUUGCGUCUUUCAGGUUUACCUUUCGAGUCACGUUUAGUCUUGUAGACCCAUUUACAACCAAUGGUUUUGAAACCAUCGGGCAACUCUACUAAGUCCCAUACAUGAUUAUCAUCCAUAGAUUUCAUUUCUUCUUCUGAGGCAUCAAACCACUCUUUAGAAUUGUCACUUUCCAUGGCCAUUUUGAAUGAGAUCGGAUCAUCAUCCAUGCUUAAGUCACAUUCAUUUUCAAUAGUGUAAACCACGUAAUCGUUUGAAAUGGCAGAUCUUCUUUCUCUUCCAGAUCGCCUUAAAGGUAUUUGUGGUUCACUAUUCUCUUCUUGAAUUAUGACAUGUUCAUCAACAGUAUUUUCAGCUAGUGGGAUUAGCUCAUCAUUAUGUUGUCCUAUUGUGUCAUUAGAGUCUGAUGCAACAAUAGGAACAACUACUUCAGGUGGAACUACAGGUGAAGGAACUUCAACCUGAAUUUCAUUAAUGUCCACUUUUCGUGGUUCACCACUCCCACUAGUUUCACCGUUUUCAAUGAACCUAGCAUUACCCGAAUCAACUAUUCUCGUACUAUGGUUAGGACAAUAAAAUGUAUACCCUUUUGAUUUUUCAGGAUAGCCAAUGAAAAAUCCACUGACAGUCCUAGAAUCAAGUUUCUUUUCAUGUGGAUUAUAUAACCUUACUUCUGCUGGACAACCCCACACACGUAAAUGUCUUAAACUAGGUUUCCUUCCCGUCCACAGCUCAUAAGGAGUCUUAGGAACUGCCUUACUAGGAACCCGGUUCAGCACAUACGUUGCAGUUUUUAAUGCAUAUAUCCACAAAGAAAGGGGUAAUGAGCAAUUACUCAACAUGCUCCUAACCAUCUCUAUUAAGGUACGGUUCCGCCUCUCAGCUACACCAUUCUGCUGAGGAGUACCAGGCAUUGUGUAUUGUGCACAUAUGCCCCUACUUUCAAGUAACUUUGCAAAUGGACCAGGACAUUGUCCACUUUCAUCGAAUUUUCCAUAAAAUUCACCACCUCUAUCAGAUCUCACUACUUUCACCUUUUUAUCUAACUGCCUUUCCACCUCGUCAAUGAAUACCUCUAGGACAUUCACAGACUUAGACUUUUCAUGCAGUAGAUAGGUAUAUCCAUACCGUGAGUAAUCAUCAAUAAAUGUGAUGAAAUAUUUUUCGCCACUCCAUGAAGGAGCAUCAAAAGGGCCACAUAUAUCGGUGUGUAUUAACUCAAGAAGCUGAGUGCUUCUUGUGGCUGGUUUCUUUAAAGUAUGUUUCGUCUGCUUUCCCUUAAUGCAGUCUAUGCAUACAUCUAAGUCACUGAAAUCCAAUUGAGGAAGAAUUUCAUUUUUUAUUAACCUUUUAAUUCUUUCUUUGGAAAUAUGACCUAGUCGUUGAUGCCACAAGAAAGCAGAACUUUCAUUAAUAGCGCUACGCUUAAUGCCUCGACUUUCAACAUUAAAUAGGGAUUCAGAAAACUUUGCAUCAAGGUUGAAUUUAUAAAGUGAAUCAAAUAAAAUACCACUACCAUAAAAGUAAUCAUUUCGGUACAAUGUGAAAACACCAUGUGCAACCUUAAUACUAAAUCCUAAAUUGUCCAACCUACUAACAGAAACAAGAUUUCUAGCACACUCAGGUACAUAGAGACACCCUUCAAGAUCCACAUGACUUCCAGUGUCCAAGAUCAAUCUAUACGUCCCAAUUCCUUCUAUUUGUGCCUUCAUCCUGUUUCCCAUGAACAAGUACUGUUCAGGUCCUCUUAUGGGCUGGAUCGAACUGAAUCCCUGUUUAAUAUGAGACACAUGAGUAGUAGCACCAGAAUCUAACCACCAAGUAUUAUUAGGAACUUCAACAAGAUUCAUUUCAUAGCAAACAAAGCUGUAAUGUUUACCUUUCUUGUCGAACCAAUCCUUCCUUUUAGGACAAUCCUUCUUGAAGUGUCCUACUUGCUUACAAAAGAAACACUUCUUUUCCUUCUGGAUUUGACUUUGAGGUCCUUUCACGAAGUUCUUUACAUUCCUUUUGUCCUUCUUACUUGAUGUUCUUUUGCUGCUACUGGCACUUCCAAGACCUACGAGGUUAGCAACUUGAUCUUUCAUCUUCCUUAGUCUCCCCUCCUCUUGAAUUAGCAUAGCCUUUAAUUCCUUAAAGUUCCAUUUAUCCUUAAUGGUGUUGUAAUUCACCUGGAACUGGCUAAAUUCAAGAGGUAGAGAGUUCAUGAUGAAUUGGACCAGGAAUUGCUCAUGUACCUCCAUUCCCAAGGUCGUUAACUUUGCUGCCAGAUUAGACAUGUGCGUCAAAUGAUCAUGGAUUGGCUGAGACCAGUCAAACUUCUUUGUAGUUAGCUCAUUCAUGAGACUUCCUACAAUCGACUUGUCAGCCAAUUCCGAUUGUGAACACUCCUUAAUUUUCUCUAUGAAUUCCCUUGCUUUCUCUGUCUUAGGCAUCGAUGGCUUAAUACUUUCUGCCAUCGUCAACCUCAUAAGGUUCAAGCUCAGCCUGUUAGAUCGCUCCCAUCUCUCAUAACGAGACUUUUCAGAUUCAGAGCUAUCUACUGUAAUAGCUGAGGGUUCCUCAUCAGUUAGUAUGGCGGAGUCCAAAGCCAUUACACCCAGUGUAAACCGGAUUUGCUCGAACCACUCACCAUAGUUGAGGCCAUUAAACUUUACCACAGAGUUAGCAGAUGCAAACACAUUUGAUGAAGCUGCAAGCAUUCAUACAUGUUUACCCGUUAGUGCUUUGAGACUUUAAUAUAUAUUCAGACUAAUAGAAACUUUAACACUUAUAUUUUAAAUAACCUUUGGGCAAUAUUUAAAUAUAAGUACUUUCACUGAUGCUAAUUAUAUAUACUUUAAUAUUAAUCAAAUCAACAUUAGUCAAAUAAAUAUGUUAUCUUUGGAUAUACAUAUUAUUCACUAUAGUAGAAAAAUGAUUAAUUCUUUUCUUAUUAUUAAUUAUAUUUAAUGAUCCACCUUUGGGUGAUCUCCUAAAAUAUAAAUAAUAAUUUAAUUGAUCAAUCAAACUUUUAUGUCAUUUAGCAUCCUUGAUCAAGAUCAAUUAUAAAUUCUAUAAAUUUUAAUAUUUGUAAGUAAAUAACAAGAUCACUUUGGUGACUAACAUGUUAUAAACUAUACAGACAUUAAAAUAUUAAUAGGUAAGUUUAUCCUAAUAUUAUGUUAUAUAUAUAUAUAUAUAUAUUUUUUUUUUUUAAUAUUUCAUAACACAAGUUACCUAUUAAUAAAAUGCAGCGGAAGCAUUUAACCGUAAAAAAAUAUGCAUGCACACGUUUGUUCCAUGACACAACUUCUCAUUGCUGACUUUUCAUACAUGUGUGUAGUAACCGUUAACACGUCCAGAAUUUUAACCAACUGAAUCAAUUAUUUUACUUAUAAUUCUGAAUUCAUUCACAUUCAUGAAUCCACACAAGCAGCAAUUUAUGUCGCCGUAACUAAUUAAGUAAGAUAAUUAAUUCUAACCAAUCCUUUUGGAACAGCAUUACACAAAAAAUUCUGUAAUCAUGCAUGUGCCUACGUUUUGUUACUUGAAACCCAGAUUUCAGGUUGAAACUUUUAAAUAAAUAGAUUAUACUCUUAUACGACAUGCUACGUUCAUUUAUGCGCACCUUUGCAUUAAUUAAGAAAAACUUUUAUCACACAUGUUUAUCUUCUUCGUUGUUGUUUUACUUUAUGUUAAUGGUGUACACCAAGUCACUAAUAACUUUUAAAGACAACAACGCUUUUCGUGAUGGCAUAAUUUCCGUAGAUAUUAAACACACUACCGUAUAGUUACGAUGCCGUUUUUAUGAGAUUACGAAUCCGUACGUUCCCGAUCAUGAACACUCUUUAAAACAGUUAAGCCGUAUAUGUUCAUAAUUUUUUCAAACGCCUAAUGGGUGAAUUAAUUAAAUCUAGAAUGGCUCUGAUACCACAUGUUAAUUUAUUUCAAUCACCAAGAACUGAUCUAGAUUUGAUUUAAUUCAACCCUAACACAUUUCUAAAGAAGGUAGAAAUACUAACCUUGAUCCAUGCUUGGAUGCAAUCCCACCAAUUGAUCUUCUCCUCUUUAACCUUCUCUUUGAUGAUUUCCUUGAUGGACAGGAAAUCCCAAACCUUCCUUAAUCUCCUCUUUUAGAUAUUAGUGUAGUGUUGUAAAGAGACUUCACGUCAUAUUGAUAAAAGGAGUACGAGUCCUUUUAUAAUAAUCUAAGAGACGUGUUGGUUUAUAUCCAUCAAACGGAUGUUUGUAACACAACUCUUCUUUAUAACCGAACUACAACAUAUACUCACAUAUAUAUUACAUUAUGGUAAUAUAUUCUAUUAUUACUACCUUGUAUAUAUAUGUGUAUAAUCAUGGAUUAAGGAUAUUUAUAAGCCAAGGUAAAGUAGGAGGGUUAACAAUACACCCAUAUUCUAACUCAUUACUCGAAACCGAUCCAUCACGAUAUCAACUCUUAUAUUAGAAUAUAAAACAUUAAUAUGAACUUGAACUUUAUAUUAAACCAAUAGAUACAUAGGUCACACAGAAUAUAAAAUAUUCU
Molecule: long non-coding RNA, 6839 nt
Filed under: Brassica rapa (field mustard)
Lineage: Eukaryota; Viridiplantae; Streptophyta; Magnoliopsida; Brassicales; Brassicaceae
Description: long non-coding RNA (BRAP_LNC003171)
Source: RNAcentral